AGGUUGGAGAUAGAGCUGAUUCAAAUCUUUAUGUAAAUGUGAAGCUAAAAGCUGCUGAGGAGAUUGGAAUCAGAGCCAAACAUAUUAAACUACCAAGAACCUCAACUGAGGCAAAGACUGAUUAGUGUCAGUUCUGGAAAGCUUUCUAGGGGUGACCUAGGACAUUGUUUCAUUACCUGUACACCUUAAGGAUGCUUGGAACUUAUCAAAGAGACAGAAUGGAUUUGGAGUCAGGAAGACUGGGGUUUGAUUUUUCCCUCCAACGUACAUGAUGAGACCACAGAUAAAGCAUAGUACAUCAUAUACUUCUAUUUACAAGGCUUUAUAUCCUUUGUAAGACUACUUUGAAAAAAAG
Long non-coding RNA from Vombatus ursinus (common wombat), 355 nucleotides. RefSeq lists it as uncharacterized. Lineage: Eukaryota; Metazoa; Chordata; Mammalia; Diprotodontia; Vombatidae. The transcript is spliced from 5 exons. The record is from RefSeq and is a predicted model, not a curated record.